AGAAGAAGGAACAUGGAGGAUUAGAAACCCUAAAAAAAAUCUGACAUUGAAAUUGAAGAAAUGCCAUUCAAUGGAGUAUUGCUGGUGUCUGUAGCUAAAGCAUCAGCAGAAGUUUGGCAAUUUUUGUCAUGUCUAGCAGACCCAAUUGACAGCGAAGAGCUUUUGGAUCUGGUCAUCUUCUUCCCUCUUCAACAAUUGGGUCGUUUAGCUCUUUGUGUUUGGACUUUCCUUUGUGUCCCUCCUGACCCUUAUUACUAUCGCCGUUACAAUUCUUCUGCUGCUUCUUCAUCUUCGUCGCUUUAUGAUGACCAUGAUUUUGUUGCUUCGCCUCCUCCCCAAUAUUACUAUGAUGAUUCUUCUUCACGUUCGGAUUGACCAUCAUUGCCUAAUCUAUUCAACUUGUAAAGUUCCCUUCUUCCCUACCUUAUUUUCCUGCUAUUUUGCUUUUUUGUACCUGUUGUUG
This 463-nucleotide unclassified non-coding RNA is filed under the name Hevea brasiliensis (rubber tree). Lineage: Eukaryota; Viridiplantae; Streptophyta; Magnoliopsida; Malpighiales; Euphorbiaceae. The record is from RNAcentral.